RNAcentral lists this ribosomal RNA (253 nucleotides) under uncultured bacterium. Its description in RNAcentral is "partial 16S ribosomal RNA". It matches the Rfam family "Bacterial small subunit ribosomal RNA", at positions 524 to 776 of the family's 1533-position model. The record is from RNAcentral.
UACGUAGGGUGCAAGCGUUAAUCGGAAUUACUGGGCGUAAAGCGUGCGCAGGCGGUUAUGCAAGACCGAUGUGAAAUCCCCGGGCUCAACCUGGGAACUGCAUUUGUGACUGCAUGGCUAGAGUACGGUAGAGGGGGAUGGAAUUCCGCGUGUAGCAGUGAAAUGCGUAGAUAUGCGGAGGAACACCGAUGGCGAAGGCAAUCCCCUGGACCUGUACUGACGCUCAUGCACGAAAGCGUGGGGAGCAAACAGG